Molecule: ribosomal RNA, 263 nt
Filed under: uncultured bacterium
Lineage: Bacteria
Description: partial small subunit ribosomal RNA
Rfam family: Bacterial small subunit ribosomal RNA
Source: RNAcentral
GGGACGAACGCUGGCGGCGUGCUUAACACAUGCAAGUCGAACGGUGACCCUCGGAGCUUGCUUCGGGGUGAUCAGUGGCGAACGGGUGAGUAACACGUGAGUAACCUGCCCCAGACUCUGGGAUAACCCCGGGAAACCGGAGCUAAUACCGGAUACGACACGGAGAGGCAUCUCUACCGUGUGGAAAGUUUUUCGGUCUGGGAUGGACUCGCGGCCUAUCAGCUUGUUGGUGAGGUAAUGGCUCACCAAGGCGACGACGGGUA